Molecule: long non-coding RNA, 941 nt
Organism: Archocentrus centrarchus (flier cichlid)
Lineage: Eukaryota; Metazoa; Chordata; Actinopteri; Cichliformes; Cichlidae
Exons: 2
Source: RefSeq, a predicted model, not a curated record
GUCAGACAACUUCCGUUCUGACUCUUUACUUCCGGUGUGAUUUCGCCUCGGUGACCUGUCUGGAUAAUUCAAAAUUCAUUCAUAUUGCUCACCAUCUUUACAAUAUUGCGAAAGCAGCAGCCCACCUAACAAGCAUGGCACAGUCAUCAAGACGUUAUUGCAUUGUGCCAUGCUAAAAUCCUUAGUGGGAGCACCCACAUAUGCAGUCAGCACUUUGCCCCAGGGGACCUAAAUACAUCAGCCAGUGGAGAAUCUGGAUUAGACAUGCAGCGGUGCCAUGUAGAUUUUACUGGAAUGAUUGGGGUAAAGGGAGGAGGACAGGGUGUGACAGUGUCUAAAACAGUGGUUCUCAAAUCCAGGCCUCGUGGCCCAGUGUCCUGCAGGUUUUAGAUGAGUCUCUGCUUCAACACACCUGAGUCAAAUAUAGAAGUCAUUAGCAGGACUCUGGAGAACUUGACUACAUACUGAGAAGGUAAUUCAGCCAUUUGAUUCAGGUGUGUUGGAUCAGGGACACAUCAAAAACCUGCAGGACACUGGGCCAUGAGGCCUGGAUUUGAGAACCACUGGUCUAAAAGGAGACAAACCAGUUCAGAGCCUCCCUGCCCCUUCAACUCACACUUCUUGGAUGAACAUUCAUUACUGCAAACAGCUGUGUUGGAAAUAAAAUCUGUGCUUUUAAUUUUAUAGCUGUUAAUGAAUGAAUUUAUGUUGUGAAGAAUUCUGUAAAAUCUUUUGUAAAUAGUGUUUCUUGAGUGAUAUGCAUACGUACAUCUUUUACAUUUAAAUUGUAUCUUUUUGUACAUUUUACACAUCUGGCUCAAUGGAGCAUGUGGAAGAGAAGAAAUGGUCAAAUUAAAGCUUCCAUUGUGGAACAAAAACAAGCUUUGUGGCAGUUUCUUGAAAACAUUCAUUUGAUAAUUCUAUUAAACACUGUACAUGGA